AUGCUCAAGUACGCGGUGGAGACCGGGGACGCCUUCGUGGAGGCCGAGGGCGAUAUGGACGUGCGGCGUCUAGCCGGCGACGAGGCGCACGACAUCGUGGCAUUCCUGAGCCUGGUGCCGGAGCUGGAUGCCCGGGUGCUCCCGGCGCCCGUGCUGUCAGUGCAGGCCACUCGUCUAAGCGGCGGCCUGGCGGUGGGCCUGUCCGUGCACCACGUAGUCGCGGACGGACGCGCCGUUUGGCGAUUCAUGGAAGCCUGGUCCUCCGCUUCCCGCGAGGGCUCCCCGGUCACCAAGGUCCUCGGCCCGCCGCACUACGCCCGGGAGGUCAUCCAGCACCCCAACGGCGACGAGCUCGCCCGCGACAUGCUAAAGACCGUCGCGCCCAAUCUCCCUGUGGUGAGGGGGCAGUACGACUUCAGCCAGCGGUUCCUGCGGGCGCGCCGGACGUUCUAUCUCGGGGCCGACGACAUCCGGUCGCUCAGGCGGCGGAUCGACGACCUCGCCUCGGCCGAGUCUGCUGCCGGUGGCGACGCGCCCAAGCCGAAACCGGUGUCGACGUUCGUGGCGCUGGCGGCACUGAGCUGGACGGCGUUCGUUCGUUCCAAGGGGCUCGGCGCAGGGGACGACACGUACCUCAUGUUCCUCGCCGACCUGCGCUCCCGCCUCGACCCGCCUGUCAGUGAGGCUUACCUGGGCAACUGCGUGCGCGCGUGCUUGGCCAGCUGCGCCGACGCGGCGGACCUCCUCGGCCAGUCCGGCAUCCUCCGCGCGGCGCGGGCCGUGCAGGCGGCUGUGGCGGAGAUGGAGGCGGCGCCGUUGUCCGGGACGGACAAGGGGUGGAUGCAGAUGCUGAUGCGGCUGCCGUUUCAGCGGAUGACCAACGUGGCGGCGAGCCCUCGGUUCCGGGCCUACGAGGCGGCCGACUUCGGGUUUGGGAAGCCCGCGCGCGUGGAGCUGGUCUCCAUGAACCACGACGGUGAGAUGGUGCUGGUCGGUGGCCGGCGCGACGGCGAGGUGCAAGCCUCCGUGUCCAUUGACCCGGCGCACAUGGACGCAUUCAAGGCCUGCAUCCUCGGCUAG
RNAcentral lists this ribosomal RNA (1080 nucleotides) under Triticum aestivum (bread wheat). RNAcentral describes it as "partial small subunit ribosomal RNA". The record is from RNAcentral. Lineage: Eukaryota; Viridiplantae; Streptophyta; Magnoliopsida; Poales; Poaceae.